GGGUUGUGAGGUUAAGCGACUAAGCGUACACGGUGGAUGCCCUGGCAGUCAGAGGCGAUGAAGGACGUGCUAAUCUGCGAUAAGCGUCGGUAAGGUGAUAUGAACCGUUAUAACCGGCGAUUUCCGAAUGGGGAAACCCAGUGUGAUUCGUCACACUAUCAUUAACUGAAUCCAUAGGUUAAUGAGGCGAACCGGGGGAACUGAAACAUCUAAGUACCCCGAGGAAAAGAAAUCAACCGAGAUUCCCCCAGUAGCGGCGAGCGAACGGGGAGCAGCCCAGAGCCUGAAUCAGUGUGUGUGUUAGUGGAAGCGUCUGGAAAGGCGCGCGAUACAGGGUGACAGCCCCGUACACAAAAAUGCACAUGCUGUGAGCUCGAUGAGUAGGGCGGGACACGUGGUAUCCUGUCUGAAUAUGGGGGGACCAUCCUCCAAGGCUAAAUACUCCUGACUGACCGAUAGUGAACCAGUACCGUGAGGGAAAGGCGAAAAGAACCCCGGCGAGGGGAGUGAAAAAGAACCUGAAACCGUGUACGUACAAGCAGUGGGAGCCUCUUAAUGGGGUGACUGCGUACCUUUUGUAUAAUGGGUCAGCGACUUAUAUUCUGUAGCAAGGUUAACCGAAUAGGGGAGCCGAAGGGAAACCGAGUCUUAACUGGGCGUUAAGUUGCAGGGUAUAGACCCGAAACCCGGUGAUCUAGCCAUGGGCAGGUUGAAGGUUGGGUAACACUAACUGGAGGACCGAACCGACUAAUGUUGAAAAAUUAGCGGAUGACUUGUGGCUGGGGGUGAAAGGCCAAUCAAACCGGGAGAUAGCUGGUUCUCCCCGAAAGCUAUUUAGGUAGCGCCUCGUGAAUUCAUCUCCGGGGGUAGAGCACUGUUUCGGCAAGGGGGUCAUCCCGACUUACCAACCCGAUGCAAACUGCGAAUACCGGAGAAUGUUAUCACGGGAGACACACGGCGGGUGCUAACGUCCGUCGUGAAGAGGGAAACAACCCAGACCGCCAGCUAAGGUCCCAAAGUCAUGGUUAAGUGGGAAACGAUGUGGGAAGGCCCAGACAGCCAGGAUGUUGGCUUAGAAGCAGCCAUCAUUUAAAGAAAGCGUAAUAGCUCACUGGUCGAGUCGGCCUGCGCGGAAGAUGUAACGGGGCUAAACCAUGCACCGAAGCUGCGGCAGCGACACUUAUGUGUUGUUGGGUAGGGGAGCGUUCUGUAAGCCUGCGAAGGUGUGCUGUGAGGCAUGCUGGAGGUAUCAGAAGUGCGAAUGCUGACAUAAGUAACGAUAAAGCGGGUGAAAAGCCCGCUCGCCGGAAGACCAAGGGUUCCUGUCCAACGUUAAUCGGGGCAGGGUGAGUCGACCCCUAAGGCGAGGCCGAAAGGCGUAGUCGAUGGGAAACAGGUUAAUAUUCCUGUACUUGGUGUUACUGCGAAGGGGGGACGGAGAAGGCUAUGUUGGCCGGGCGACGGUUGUCCCGGUUUAAGCGUGUAGGCUGGUUUUCCAGGCAAAUCCGGAAAAUCAAGGCUGAGGCGUGAUGACGAGGCACUACGGUGCUGAAGCAACAAAUGCCCUGCUUCCAGGAAAAGCCUCUAAGCAUCAGGUAACAUCAAAUCGUACCCCAAACCGACACAGGUGGUCAGGUAGAGAAUACCAAGGCGCUUGAGAGAACUCGGGUGAAGGAACUAGGCAAAAUGGUGCCGUAACUUCGGGAGAAGGCACGCUGAUAUGUAGGUGAAGUCCCUUGCGGAUGGAGCUGAAAUCAGUCGAAGAUACCAGCUGGCUGCAACUGUUUAUUAAAAACACAGCACUGUGCAAACACGAAAGUGGACGUAUACGGUGUGACGCCUGCCCGGUGCCGGAAGGUUAAUUGAUGGGGUUAGCGGUAACGCGAAGCUCUUGAUCGAAGCCCCGGUAAACGGCGGCCGUAACUAUAACGGUCCUAAGGUAGCGAAAUUCCUUGUCGGGUAAGUUCCGACCUGCACGAAUGGCGUAAUGAUGGCCAGGCUGUCUCCACCCGAGACUCAGUGAAAUUGAACUCGCUGUGAAGAUGCAGUGUACCCGCGGCAAGACGGAAAGACCCCGUGAACCUUUACUAUAGCUUGACACUGAACAUUGAGCCUUGAUGUGUAGGAUAGGUGGGAGGCUUUGAAGUGUGGACGCCAGUCUGCAUGGAGCCGACCUUGAAAUACCACCCUUUAAUGUUUGAUGUUCUAACGUUGGCCCCUAAUCGGGGUUGCGGACAGUGUCUGGUGGGUAGUUUGACUGGGGCGGUCUCCUCCUAAAGAGUAACGGAGGAGCACGAAGGUUGGCUAAUCCUGGUCGGACAUCAGGAGGUUAGUGCAAUGGCAUAAGCCAGCUUGACUGCGAGCGUGACGGCGCGAGCAGGUGCGAAAGCAGGUCAUAGUGAUCCGGUGGUUCUGAAUGGAAGGGCCAUCGCUCAACGGAUAAAAGGUACUCCGGGGAUAACAGGCUGAUACCGCCCAAGAGUUCAUAUCGACGGCGGUGUUUGGCACCUCGAUGUCGGCUCAUCACAUCCUGGGGCUGAAGUAGGUCCCAAGGGUAUGGCUGUUCGCCAUUUAAAGUGGUACGCGAGCUGGGUUUAGAACGUCGUGAGACAGUUCGGUCCCUAUCUGCCGUGGGCGCUGGAGAACUGAGGGGGGCUGCUCCUAGUACGAGAGGACCGGAGUGGACGCAUCACUGGUGUUCGGGUUGUCAUGCCAAUGGCACUGCCCGGUAGCUAAAUGCGGAAGAGAUAAGUGCUGAAAGCAUCUAAGCACGAAACUUGCCCCGAGAUGAGUUCUCCCUGACUCCCUGAGAGUCCUGAAGGAACGUUGAAGACGACGACGUUGAUAGGCCGGGUGUGUAAGCGCAGCGAUGCGUUGAGCUAACCGGUACUAAUGAACCGUGAGGCUUAACCUUACAACGCCGAAG
RNAcentral lists this ribosomal RNA (2926 nucleotides) under Escherichia coli. RNAcentral describes it as "23S ribosomal RNA". It matches the Rfam family "Bacterial large subunit ribosomal RNA". The record is from RNAcentral. Lineage: Bacteria; Pseudomonadati; Pseudomonadota; Gammaproteobacteria; Enterobacterales; Enterobacteriaceae.